CAGGGAAUAGUUUAAUUUGAAAAUAUUAGCUUUGGAGGUUAGUGAUGGGGUUUUCCUUUCCUUGA
RNAcentral lists this transfer RNA (65 nucleotides) under Kalotermes flavicollis. RNAcentral's name for it is "tRNA-Pro". Lineage: Eukaryota; Metazoa; Arthropoda; Insecta; Blattodea; Kalotermitidae. The record is from RNAcentral.